This 1467-nucleotide ribosomal RNA is filed under the name metagenome. RNAcentral describes it as "bacterial SSU rRNA". It matches the Rfam family "Bacterial small subunit ribosomal RNA". The record is from RNAcentral.
UCAGGAUGAACGCUGGCGGCGUGCUUAACACAUGCAAGUCGAACGAAGCACUUUAUUUGAUUUCCUUCGGGACUGAUUAUUUCGUGACUGAGUGGCGGACGGGUGAGUAACGCGUGGGUAACCUGCCUUGUACAGGGGGAUAACAGUUGGAAACGGCUGCUAAUACCGCAUAAGCGCACAGCAUCGCAUGAUGCAGUGUGAAAAACUCCGGUGGUAUAAGAUGGACUCGCGUUGGAUUAGCUAGUUGGUGAGGUAACGGCCCACCAAGGCGACGAUCCAUAGCCGACCUGAGAGGGUGACCGGCCACAUUGGGACUGAGACACGGCCCAAACUCCUACGGGAGGCAGCAGUGGGGAAUAUUGCACAAUGGGAGAAACCCUGAUGCAGCGACGCCGCGUGGAGGAAGAAGGUCUUCGGAUUGUAAACUCCUGUUGUUGGGGAAGAUAAUGACGGUACCCAACAAGGAAGUGACGGCUAACUACGUGCCAGCAGCCGCGGUAAAACGUAGGUCACAAGCGUUGUCCGGAAUUACUGGGUGUAAAGGGAGCGCAAGCGGGAAGACAAGUUGGAAGUGGAAUCUAUGGGCUCAACCCAUAAACUGCUUUCAAAACUGUUUUUCUUGAGUAGUGCAGAGGUAGGCGGAAUUCCCGGUGUAGCGGUGGAAUGCGUAGGUAUCGGGAGGAACACCAGUGGCGAAGGCGGCCUACUGGGCACCAACUGACGCUGAGGCUCGAAAGUGUGGGUAGCAAACAGGAUUAGAUACCCUGGUAGUCCACACCGUAAACGAUGAUUACUAGGUGUUGGAGGAUUGACCCCUUCAGUGCCGCAGUUAACACAAUAAGUAAUCCACCUAGGGAGUACGACCGCAAGGUUGAAACUCAAGGGAAUUGACGGGGGCCCGCACAAGCAGUGGAGUAUGUGGUUUAAUUCGACGCAACGCGAAGAACCUUACCAAGUCUUGACAUCCCUUGACAGGCAUAGAAAUAUGUUUUCUCUUCGGAGCAAGGAGACAGGUGGUGCAUGGUUGUCGUCAGCUCGUGUCGUGAGAUGUUGGGUUAAGUCCCGCAACGAGCGCAACCCUUAUGGUCAGUUACUACGCAAGAGGACUCUGGCCAGACUGCCGUUGACAAAACGGAGGAAGGUGGGGAUGACGUCAAAUCAUCAUGCCCUUUAUGACUUGGGCUACACACGUACUACAAUGGCGUUAAACAAAGAGAGGCAAGACCGCGAGGUGGAGCAAAACUCAGAAACAACGUCCCAGUUCGGACUGCAGGCUGCAACUCGCCUGCACGAAGUCGGAAUUGCUAGUAAUCGUGGAUCAGCAUGCCACGGUGAAUACGUUCCCGGGUCUUGUACACACCGCCCGUCACACCAUGGGAGUCAGUAACGCCCGAAGUCAGUGACCUAACCGUAAGGAGGGAGCUGCCGAAGGCGGGACCGAUGACUGGGGUGAAGUCGUAACAAGGU